UCCAAUUUCACACCAUCCCAAUGGGCCUAUCUCACAAAAAUCGGAAAUGACGUCACACCGGGUAAACAUUCUUCCGGCGUAGUCAUUUUUGUAUUGCCGUCAAUGCACAAAUGGAUCGUUUCUUCGCCACUUCCCUGGUGGGUUUUCCGAAAUUGCGAUUCGAAGAUGUGCAGAAGAUUGUGGAGACACACUCAGCAACACCACAGCCCAGGCUGUCAAAGGGGUACAAGUUUUUUGUGGAGGAGUUUGUACACAAUUAUCAAGAUCACCCUGGAGGCUGUUGGACAACUGGGUCUCUCAGAGCUGUAGCUUUGCUGCGGGCAAAGGCUUCUGUAGCCAUAUAACCGCUCUGCUGUUCCAGACAGCGCAUUAUGUGCAGCUGGGCCUUGAUGUGGUUCCACCUUCCCUGGCCUGUACCAGUCAACCACAGAUGUGGCAUCGACCUCGAACCCACGUGUGCUGUUGUGUCCUCUGUUCAAAUCAUACACUUCAGUAUUUGUCUAGAGUAUAUGAGCAUUUCCUGUAUUGUUGUUCGCCUCAGGGAAUCCAUCCAGAGGCUGUGAGUGACCUGGUGGUGAAGAAACCCAAGUCGGUGGGGAAGACUGGAGUCAAGUCCACACUCUACAGAGCGUAUGCUGAGGGAAUAUCCAGCUUGGAGUUGGUACCAUCUCAGCUGUGCUGACCUGGAAGAUGUCAGCAAUGACUUGUUCUUUAAGGCCAGUUGCUACUCUACAACAGUAGAUGAAAAACUCAUCAAUGGCUGGAAUCUUCCUUGAAGGGCUUGGUGUUGGAAUCGCCUCUUGUCCAAUCCUCUGUGCUUUGCUCCAAUAAAGAAUAUAUUGUGUUGAGGGGCAAAACAGACUCCCAAAACACUUGAAACACUUCUUGAGAUGGAAACCGAGUAUAAUAUGUCAUGGUCUGAUCAGACACACAAAAUCUGUUGAGGACAGUUUGUGGCCCCAUGGACAUUUCUUGCAGCCUUGCCUCCAGCUCAGCAAUAUACUCCAGGGCAUCAUCCAGUGCACCUACAAAAAAAGAAGACAAAUCAGUCUUCAUUACCAUUC
This is a long non-coding RNA of Gadus chalcogrammus (walleye pollock), 1064 nucleotides long. RefSeq lists it as uncharacterized. The transcript has 3 exons. The record is from RefSeq and is a predicted model, not a curated record. NCBI's taxonomy places the organism in Eukaryota, Metazoa, Chordata, Actinopteri, Gadiformes, Gadidae.